RNA transcript from Cannabis sativa, 2447 nucleotides. RefSeq lists it as uncharacterized. The record is from RefSeq and is a predicted model, not a curated record. Lineage: Eukaryota; Viridiplantae; Streptophyta; Magnoliopsida; Rosales; Cannabaceae. The transcript has 3 exons.
AAACUAAGGACGGUGUAAAUAGUCGUUUAGAUCUCGUUGAAAUGGGUAUACGACAAUCUCUGGCACCUGAGAAGAAAGGUGAACGUUUAUAUUUGCCUCCUGCUUGUUUCACUUUAUCCAAAAAAGAGAAACAAACAGUUUGCAAAUCACUUGCAAAUAUGAAAGUACCCGAUGGUUACUCGUCUAACAUCAAAAACUUGGUGAAUGAGACUGAAUUGAAACUAAUGGGUCUGAAAUCACAUGAUUGUCAUGCGUUAAUGCAACAUCUACUUCCAAUUGCCAUUAGAUCAGUCUUGCCAAAAAAUGUUCGAGAGUGUUUGACACAUGUUUGCAUUUUCUUUAAUAGGCUGUGCGGGAAGGAAUUAGAAUUGGAUAAGUUAGAUGCAUUACAUGAACAUGUAGUCAAAACAUUGUGCAACCUGGAAAAGUUUUUUCCGCCAUCUUUUUUCGACAUCAUGAUCCAUUUAAUGGUUCAUCUAGUGAGAGAAGCAAGGCUGUGUGGGCCGGUGUGGGCGAGAUGGAUGUAUCCAUUUGAAAGAAAUAUGAAGGUACUUAAAAGUUAUGUGCGUAACCACUAUCGGCCAGAAGCAUGUAUGGUUGAGUGCUACAUAUCUGAAGAGGCUGUGGAAUUUUGUUCAGAGUACAUGGCUGGAGUUGAGGCAAUAGGAAUUAGCAAACCAAGAACUGACCCAGAUGAUGUUGAUAGAGGAUUAAGGGGCAAAGGGACAAUGGUGACAGUGUCCAAGCUUGAACUAGAUCAAGCUCAAUUAGUCGUGAUGAACAAUAACGCAGAGGUUCAACCAUAUAUAACUGACCAUAUGGAGCUGUUACAAUCAAUGGUUCCAAGAAAUCAAAAAAAUAAACAAAAAUGGGUUGCAGACCAACAUCGUCAAACUUUCAUUGGGUGGUUAAGGAAUACCAUUAUAGCAAAGUUGAACGAACCGAAUCAUGGAGUAUCUGAUGUGUUGAGUCGUAUUGCCCUUGGACCAACUUUUGCGGUUGCAAAGCAUGAAGCGUACAUUGUAAGGGGUAAACGUUUUCAUACAAAGUCAAGAGAUGAUGCUCGAGAGGUUCAAAAUAGUGGUAUACGUAUCGUCGCAGAAACUAUGCACUUUGCAAGUGCAAAAGAUAGAAACCCUGUUUUAGGUACUAUGACGUAUUACGGGGUCAUUGAAGAAAUAUGGGAGCUCAAUUAUUUUGCGUUCCGAAUUCCACUUUUUAAGUGUUCUUGGGUUGACAACAACGUUGGAGUAAAAACUGACGAGCUUGGUUUUACUUUGGUUGAUUUAAGUAAGAGAGGAAGCAAGAAUGAUCCAUUCAUCAUGGCUAGCCAAGCAGCUCAAGUUUUUUACAUUUCUGAUCCGGCUAAUGAUAAAUGGUCUAUUGUUUUAUCGACACCAGAGAGGAGGUUCUUAGAGACUGAAGAGGAUGAGGAGAAUGCUGACUUAUGUUACGAUGACUUCAUUGUUGGACAACCAAUUCAUGAGCAACUCAUGGGAAUUGAUCGUAACAUUGAGGAAGACGACGCUGAAUACAUUAGAAACGAUAUCAAUGAGGGAAUAUGGGUCAAUUGUGAUUCAGGCAAACAUAAACAAAAAAAGAAAAGAAAACGUGUCUAAUUGGUAACUUGAUAUAUAGCUUACUUUAUAUUGUGGUUGUGAAUGGUCCUGAAUACUUAACAAUUUGUUUAUGCUUUUAAUAUUUCAUAUACACUACUUGUUAUAUAUGUAGCUAACUUUGAAGUUUGUUUGUUAAUGGUGUAGACAUGGCGAACUCAGAAUCAGGAUCUGAUUCGGGAGCAGAAAAUGAGUGUCCAACCACAAUACCUACACGAGGGCCGACGCAAAUGAAUGAAAUAUCCAAACUAAUGGAUCAGGGCAAAAGAGUGGCCCUCGAAGUUAAUGAUAAAGGUCAAUACUGUGGAAAAAGCUACGCGAAGCUCAUAUCCACUCUGGGAGUCAGAUGUCGGCAGACAAUAGGGUUGGCUUAUAAAAACUGGAAAGAAGUCAACCAGACUCUGAAAAAUAAAGUUUGGAAAGACAUUCAGGUAAGCUAUUAUUUGUUAGAAUUUUGAUUUGUUUUUCUAUUACUCCAAAUGUUGACUCUAACCGUGUUUGUUUUCCUUCAAAAUAGACGGGGUUCAUUGUGCUGGACACCUUCAAACAUGAUUGUCUCAUCCUAGCUGGGAAGUUAAUGAAAGACUUCAAGAAUAGGAUGACAAAAGACAUCAUAAUGCCCGCGUUGAAAGAGAAUGAUCUGGGACGACUGGCACAAGUCCCUGAAAAGCACCCGGAGAUCGACGCUGCUGAUUGGUGCAAAUUUGUUGAAAGUAGACUAACUCCUGAAUUUCUGGAAUUGAGUAAGGUGCAACGUGAACGUUCCUCAAAAAUUCAAUCCAGACAUCGAAGUGGUCGGAGUGGGAUGGUGAACGUACGGGAAGGUUUGUG